GUUGGUAUUUCGUGCCAGAAAGUCACACCCGUUCCCAUCCCGAACACGGUAGUUAAGCUUCUCUGCGCCAAUGGUAGUUGGGGGCUUCCCCCUGCGAGAGUAGGUCGCUGCCGGGC
This 116-nucleotide ribosomal RNA is filed under the name Listeria monocytogenes. Lineage: Bacteria; Bacillati; Bacillota; Bacilli; Caryophanales; Listeriaceae. The record is from RNAcentral.